UUAGAGUUUGAUCCUGGCUCACGACGAACGUUGGUGGCGCGCCUAACACAUGCAAGUCGAACGAGCGAGAGAGAGCUUGCUUUCUCGAGCGACUGGCGAACGGGUGAGUAACGCGUGAGGAACCUGCCUCAAAGAGGGGGACAACAGUUGGAAACGACUGCUAAUACCGCAUAAGCCCACAGCUCGGCAUCGAGCAGAGGGAAAAGGAGCAAUCCGCUUUGAGAUGGCCUCGCGUCCGAUUAGCUGGUUGGUGAGGUAACGGCCCACCAAGGCGACGAUCGGUAGCCGGACUGAGAGGUUGAACGGCCACAUUGGGACUGAGACACGGCCCAUACUCCUACGGGAGGCAGCAGUGGGGAAUAUUGCACAAUGGGGGAAACCCUGAUGCAGCGACGCCGCGUGGAGGAAGAAGGUCUUCGGAUUGUAAACUCCUGUUGUUGAGGAAGAUAAUGACGGUACUCAACAAGGAAGUGACGGCUAACUACGUGCCAGCAGCCGCGGUAAAACGUAGGUCACAAGCGUUGUCCGGAAUUACUGGGUGUAAAGGGAGCGCAGGCGGGAAGACAAGUUGGAAGUGAAAUCUAUGGGCUCAACCCAUAAACUGCUUUCAAAACUGUUUUUCUUGAGUAGUGCAGAGGUAGGCGGAAUUCCCGGUGUAGCGGUGGAAUGCGUAGAUAUCGGGAGGAACACCAGUGGCGAAGGCGGCCUACUGGGCACCAACUGACGCUGAGGCUCGAAAGUGUGGGUAGCAACAGGAUUAGAUACCCUGGUAGUCCACACCGUAAACGAUGAUUACUAGGUGUUGGAGGAUUGACCCCUUCAGUGCCGCAGUUAACACAAUAAGUAAUCCACCUGGGGAGUACGACCGCAAGGUUGAAACUCAAAGGAAUUGACGGGGGCCCGCACAAGCAGUGGAGUAUGUGGUUUAAUUCGACGCAACGCGAAGAACCUUACCAAGUCUUGACAUCCCUUGACGAACAUAGAAAUAUGUUUUCUCUUCGGAGCAAGGAGACAGGUGGUGCAUGGUUGUCGUCAGCUCGUGUCGUGAGAUGUUGGGUUAAGUCCCGCAACGAGCGCAACCCUUACUGUCAGUUACUACGCAAGAGGACUCUGGCAGGACUGCCGUUGACAAAACGGAGGAAGGUGGGGAUGACGUCAAAUCAUCAUGCCCUUUAUGACUUGGGCUACACACGUACUACAAUGGCGUUAAACAAAGAGAAGCAAGACCGCGAGGUGGAGCAAAACUCAGAAACAACGUCCCAGUUCGGACUGCAGGCUGCAACUCGCCUGCACGAAGUCGGAAUUGCUAGUAAUCGUGGAUCAGCAUGCCACGGUGAAUACGUUCCCGGGCCCCUUGUACAACACCGCCC
Molecule: ribosomal RNA, 1370 nt
Filed under: uncultured bacterium
Lineage: Bacteria
Description: 16S ribosomal RNA
Rfam family: Bacterial small subunit ribosomal RNA
Source: RNAcentral